This 201-nucleotide unclassified non-coding RNA is filed under the name Hevea brasiliensis (rubber tree). Lineage: Eukaryota; Viridiplantae; Streptophyta; Magnoliopsida; Malpighiales; Euphorbiaceae. The record is from RNAcentral.
AAAGUUUUGAGAAUAGCAGAACAAGCCAUUAAUGGUACACACAUGUUAACUUCCAAAUGAGCAACUAUAGGAAUUAUGCCUCCAGAAUAUAAAGAAAAAAAAAUACCACAUUUUCUAUUCAAAAUUAAAAAUUAAAGGAAAGAUAAAAAAACUAACAUUGUAGGUGAUUAUCUCGAUGACUUCUGCAUUGGCAAGUACAUG